GAUGAACGCUGGCGGCGUGCCUAAUACAUGCAAGUCGAGCGAAUGGAUUAAGAGCUUGCUCUUAUGAAGUUAGCGGCGGACGGGUGAGUAACACGUGGGUAACCUGCCCAUAAGACUGGGAUAACUCCGGGAAACCGGGGCUAAUACCGGAUAACAUUUUGAACCGCAUGGUUCGAAAUUGAAAGGCGGCUUCGGCUGUCACUGAUGGAUGGACCCGCGUCGCAUUAGCAAGUUGGUGAGGUAACGGCUCACCAAGGCAACGAUGCGUAGCCGACCUGAGAGGGUGAUCGGCCACACUGGGACUGAGACACGGCCCAGACUCCUACGGGAGGCAGCAGUAGGGAAUCUUCCGCAAUGGACGAAAGUCUGACGGAGCAACGCCGCGUGAGUGAUGAAGGCUUUCGGGUCGUAAAACUCUGUUGUUAGGGAGGAACAAGUGCUAGUUGAAUAAGCUGGCACCUUGACGGUACCUAACCAGAAAGCCACGGCUAACUACGUGCCAGCAGCCGCCGUAA
Molecule: ribosomal RNA, 515 nt
Filed under: uncultured bacterium
Lineage: Bacteria
Description: partial 16S ribosomal RNA
Rfam family: Bacterial small subunit ribosomal RNA
Source: RNAcentral